Molecule: long non-coding RNA, 1943 nt
Organism: Gossypium arboreum
Lineage: Eukaryota; Viridiplantae; Streptophyta; Magnoliopsida; Malvales; Malvaceae
Exons: 3
Source: RefSeq, a predicted model, not a curated record
CUUAUCACACAACUAUAACGUUCUUCAAAAAAUACUUCCUCUGUUUUCUCUUUUAUUCUCUAGUCUCUUAAACCUGUUGAUCUUUGCAAAAAAAAAAAAAAAAAAACAAAUGGCAGGUGCAAGGGGGGAAAUGAUCAACGGUGGGAAUUAUUCGCCGAGAAUUGCUGGACGUCCGAUCCCAAGGAGGGGUCAAGUGAAAAUUGCUAUCUUAAUGGGGAUUGCCCAUUCUUUUGCUUCUAUUUUCUCUGCAAGUAGUCGCAGGCAAUCUGCAUCUCACUUGUCCUAGGUUGUUUAAUUUCUCCCAAAAAGUAAGAGAACUGGAAGGGUAAACGUUGCCCGUCCUAGGAAAGAUUUUCAGUUUAUCUUCUGAUUGAUUAUCAUCUCUCAGUACUUUGAUCUUGAAGAAAGGCAAUUUUCAAGUUUAAAAAGAUCUGGUAGCAAAGCAAUUAUAUUUAGUCAUACUGGGCGAUGAAUUAAGAUGACACCGAGUUACAUAAAGGUGGAAUCAAUGAAAGAUGAAUCAUAAAUUUGAAAAUAUCAAAGACCAACAGCCAUGGGUGGUUGGGGCUUUGUCAAGCGAUUGCUUUUUUCAAAUUCUUGCAAGUUAUGACCUUUGGAAAAACAUAACAUAGAGAAGUACGCUACGCAAUUUCAAUAUAGCAGAAGGCCUAAAUUCAGGACAGAAUAUCAAGUAGAAACUCCCGAGGUAUGCUCUAGAUCCGAACAUGACCAAGAGAAGUUUGUGCAGAUUUGAGAACGGUUUGUUUCCAAGGCCACAACACAAAAGCAAGCAACUGCUAAACGUUGAUUUGCUCGUUUGUUGAUAGCAGAUAAAACAAAGAGAACAUUUUUGUCAAAUUUUUGUGCCAGUUUCAUGUUUUGCUAUUUUCUUUUUAAUGGCAUUGAAAAUUCGUCUAAUGCAUUAAAGUUAUUCUGGCAAUCCAAAUGCAACCACAAAGAAACCACGGUAAUGAAUCAGAUAAACCCUUGUAGUUCAAAAGCUUGGUAUCUCAAAGUUCCAUCCUUGUAGUGCAAAAGGUGUGAGGUAAAGUUCCAUCCUUCUAUGACAGUUUCAUGCAUUGGUAUUUCAGUUCCAUCGUUGUAGCGCAAAAGUUGUGAGUAAAAGUCUUGGAUGGCACCAGUGACCUCAGCAAUCUUGACAGUUCCCUAAAACACGACAUAAUUAGUUUAUUUAAAUUUCAGGGGAUUUUCUACAGUUUAAUGAGCAAAGGAUUGCCGAGGUUUCUGCUUAUUUGAAUAGUCUUACGUGCAAGCAUCAUCUGGGGAUUUCAAGGAAGUGAAGUGUGCUUUGUCCAUCAAUACCUGUACUAAUGCCGGAUUUAGCCAGGCCAGGCACAGAGGGACGAAACGUCCCCACUGGGGUAGUGAGGUGGCAAACUUUUAACAGCUGUUGCAGCCUGGGGGGCUGUAAGGGGGGCUGUAAAAGGGCCUAAGAUAUUAGGCAGUGAAUAGCUGCCAAUGCUCUUUUCUUCUUAAAAGCCUUUUGCGUAUUCGUUAACAUGACUUAAAACAGGUUCCCAUUAAGAUUUUAAAUGUGUUAAAACAUUCCGAAACAGAAUACAGAUCUUUUGAAAAGCUUGAAUUUGGAAUUGAUGUGUUUUCCAACAGGGGUUAACUUCGGUAUAUGGGAGUUAUACACAAACUGAAAACAGGUAAUCAUUCAGAUUAAGUUUGAUAUUCGAGUUCCACUACGUGAUGUACCCUAAAGGUUGACCUAAAUGACAAGCAAAGUGGGGCAUUUUCCAGUAUAAGGGAGGCAAGAGCAUCUUUAACAGUAAUACAGUCGGAGAUAAACAUAAAGUUCAUCAUCUUUUCUUGAAAGAGUUGAUAAAGGGAUACUAUAGUCGCCCUCACUUCAUAAUUUACAAAUGCCUAUCUUCAUGCUUGAGCGAUUUUAACUUCAGAAUUAAAUAAUCGGUUAA